Molecule: non-coding RNA, 201 nt
Filed under: Paracoccus seriniphilus
Lineage: Bacteria; Pseudomonadati; Pseudomonadota; Alphaproteobacteria; Rhodobacterales; Paracoccaceae
Source: RNAcentral
CUCAGGUGAACGCGCGCUGGUUCCUGUCCUAUGACAGGCGAAGAGGGAAUGCGACAGGUGUGACACCUGAAAGCAGCCGCCCCCGCGACCGUGACCGGAAAGGUCGCCCAUGUCCACUGGCCAAGGCCGGGAAGGAGGGGCAACCGUUGGGGAAACCCUGAAUCCGCAAGCCGGGAGACCUGCCAGCGCCGAGUUUUGACG